RNAcentral lists this ribosomal RNA (299 nucleotides) under uncultured Rhodoferax sp. RNAcentral describes it as "partial 16S ribosomal RNA". It matches the Rfam family "Bacterial small subunit ribosomal RNA", at positions 1080 to 1382 of the family's 1533-position model. The record is from RNAcentral. Lineage: Bacteria; Pseudomonadati; Pseudomonadota; Betaproteobacteria; Burkholderiales; Comamonadaceae.
UUAAGUCCCGCAACGAGCGCAACCCUUGUCAUUAGUUGCUACAUUCAGUUGGGCACUCUAAUGAGACUGCCGGUGACAAGCCGGAGGAAGUGGGGAUGACGUCAAGUCCUCAUGGCCCUUAUAGGUGGGGCUACACACGUCAUACAAUGGCUGGUACAAAGGGUUGCCAACCCGCGAGGGGGAGCCAAUCCCAUAAAGCCAGUCGUAGUCCGGAUCGUAGUCUGCAACUCGACUACGUGAAGUCGGAAUCGCUAGUAAUCGUGGAUCAGAAUGUCACGGUGAAUACGUUCCCGGGUCUU